GGGGAUAUAGCUCAGUUGGUGGAGUGCCUGCUUAGCAUGCACAAGGCUCUGGAUUCAAUCCCCAGCACCACCA
Ictidomys tridecemlineatus (thirteen-lined ground squirrel) is the source of this 73-nucleotide non-coding RNA. Lineage: Eukaryota; Metazoa; Chordata; Mammalia; Rodentia; Sciuridae. The record is from Rfam.